Coffea eugenioides is the source of this 1110-nucleotide long non-coding RNA. RefSeq lists it as uncharacterized. The record is from RefSeq and is a predicted model, not a curated record. The transcript has 3 exons. NCBI's taxonomy places the organism in Eukaryota, Viridiplantae, Streptophyta, Magnoliopsida, Gentianales, Rubiaceae.
CCCACCAUCUCAUCUCUUUGUGACUUCCUUCUUUAAGCCAACAGGUCAGCUGCUACUCCUGCAGCCGCUUGAUUUGCUGAUCAUUCACAUGGCCUUUGUACUUCAGAGCAGGAGAAUUGGGUGCAGGUGAACUACUUUGCUUACACUAGCCGUUUUUCCCUCUUUCUCUGAUAUCCAAUUAACCCGUUUCUGUAUCGAUUUCGUCUCAUGUUGCCGAAUUGUUGGAGCCUCACGUGAUAGUUGUACUUCAAAGGAGUGAAAUGGGGAAUUUUUUUUUAGAGUAAUCUAAGUGGUUCAACAUUGUCACUCAACUUGCUGUCCAGAUUCUUCUUCUUCUCUGCAUUGAAUUCACUAGUAAGUUUCAAAACUUAUGUUAACUUAAAGGUCUUUUCCAAUUUUUUCCUAUUUUUUGAAAACUGAGUGUAGCGUAACAUGAUUGUUUUUUGCUUCUUUUUUGGUGGCUUGAUAAUAUCAAACUCUUAAGAAAAAGUUCCGAGCUCAUUCAGGACCGCCAGCUCCCCAGGGCACUCCUUUUUUAUAUCUGAGAAGCACCCUCCGAUGUAGCAUUUUGGUGCUGUAGGAUAUGGGGUCACUGAAACAGGGAGGUUGUAGCCAUCCACUAUACUUACGUCGUAGAAACUCGGCUGCCUCUUGUCAACCUGCAACGUAAACUCUACUAGCGUCACAGGAGGAACGCCGAUCACCCCGGCGCAUUCGAGUCGCCCGUUGCAGUCGCCUGUUUCACAGGCUCGUCCGUCGUUGGAGUAGUCGAAAUUGCAGCCUGUUCUGGCCCAGAUGCGGCCACUCGAAUCUCCUGGUGCCUGGAAUUUCCGGAGUCUCCCGGAUGGAAGAUAGAAGCCACCGUUUGCUACGACUGGAAAGCCUUGGUUCGGGGCAGUGGCAGGCCAUAUGGGAAAUGGGCACUUGUUGCUCACGUAAAAUGUGCAUGCUUCCACAACUCCACUACUGCCUAUGGGUUACGUUAAACUAUAAACGAUGCAAAAGAAGAAUGCUUUUUCAUUUAUUUGGGUUACUUCUUGACAGCAAUCAAUUAAUCUCAAUGGUCAUUGGCUGUGAUCAAUUAACCACUUGUUCUUUUGUGCACCUUAA